RNAcentral lists this ribosomal RNA (469 nucleotides) under uncultured bacterium. RNAcentral describes it as "bacterial SSU rRNA". It matches the Rfam family "Bacterial small subunit ribosomal RNA", at positions 329 to 794 of the family's 1533-position model. The record is from RNAcentral.
CGCCAGACUCCUACGGGAGGCAGCAGUGAGGAAUAUUGGUCAAUGGGCGAGAGCCUGAACCAGCCAAGUCGCGUGAGGGAAGACGGUCCUACGGAUUGUAAACCUCUUUUGCCGGGGAGCAACGGGGUCCUUGCGAGGGCCCGAUGAGAGUACCCGGAGAAAAAGCAUCGGCUAACUCCGUGCCAGCAGCCGCGGUAAUACGGAGGAUGCGAGCGUUAUCCGGAUUUAUUGGGUUUAAAGGGUGCGCAGGCGGAAGAUCAAGUCAGCGGUAAAAUUGAGAGGCUCAACCUCUUCGAGCCGUUGAAACUGGUUUUCUUGAGUGAGCGAGAAGUAUGCGGAAUGCGUGGUGUAGCGGUGAAAUGCAUAGAUAUCACGCAGAACUCCGAUUGCGAAGGCAGCAUACCGGCGCUCAACUGACGCUCAUGCACGAAAGUGUGGGUAUCGAACAGGAUUAGAUACCCCCGUAAUG